CUUGUUAAUAGACGAGGUGGCUUCUACCGAACGGCCAGGCAAACAGGGGAAAGAACAAGAUGAUCCAGGGACUAGGAGCACAAAACAUAGGAAAUAACAGGGGGGACAAGCUACAGGAAUAAGGGUGACAGUCAAAGGUUCAUUCCGCUACAGGUCCAUUUAAUCUUUAAGGUUUUCAGUCUGUUUUAUCAUAUGCCCCUCUCCCCCCGUGCUAUACAU
Molecule: non-coding RNA, 219 nt
Organism: Pelobates cultripes (western spadefoot toad)
Lineage: Eukaryota; Metazoa; Chordata; Amphibia; Anura; Pelobatidae
Source: the annotation of a GenBank genome assembly